GACGUAGGGGGCGAGCGUUGUCCGGAAUCAUUGGGCGUAAAGGGCUCCUAGGCGGUUCAGUAAGUCGACUGUGAAAAUCCAGGGCUCAACCCUGGGGCGCCAGUCGAUACUGCUGUGACUCGAGUUCGGUAGAGGAGUGUGGAAUUCCUGGUGUAGCGGUGAAAUGCGCAGAUAUCAGGAGGAACACCAACGGCGAAGGCAGCACUCUGGGCCGAUACUGACGCUGAAGAGCGAAAGCGUGGGGAGCAAACAGG
This 254-nucleotide ribosomal RNA is filed under the name uncultured bacterium. Its description in RNAcentral is "partial 16S ribosomal RNA". It matches the Rfam family "Bacterial small subunit ribosomal RNA", at positions 524 to 776 of the family's 1533-position model. The record is from RNAcentral.